Molecule: ribosomal RNA, 108 nt
Filed under: Lepisosteus oculatus (spotted gar)
Lineage: Eukaryota; Metazoa; Chordata; Actinopteri; Semionotiformes; Lepisosteidae
Source: RNAcentral
UACAGCAGCUAUAUCACCCUGCAGCUCUCAACUGGCUACCUAAGCAGGGUUUAGCCUGGUCAGUACCUGGAUGGGAGACCUCCUGGGAAGCUAUGGCUGCUGCUGGAA